RNAcentral lists this ribosomal RNA (2797 nucleotides) under Blastomyces percursus. Its description in RNAcentral is "23S ribosomal RNA". The stretch from base 404 to 2797 matches the Rfam family "Bacterial large subunit ribosomal RNA". Lineage: Eukaryota; Fungi; Ascomycota; Eurotiomycetes; Onygenales; Ajellomycetaceae. The record is from RNAcentral.
UAAAGCAGUAUUAUUUAGAUUAUUUAAAAUCAGACUAUAGUUGAGUUAGCUGAUUCAACUUUAGGUUAUAUGCAUACAGAAGAAUCUAGAAAAAAAAAUGAGGGAUUUUAUUUUUAGCGAAGAAGUUUUAAAUAGAUUAUCAACUAAUAAUGCUACAGGAGCAAGAAGUAUUAAAAAUAUAGUUCAAAAUAUUGAAACUGGAGAGAAAUUUGAGUAUAAAAGUUUGAGUGAAGCAGGUAAAGCUUUAAAUGUAUCUAAAACGGUUGUUAGUCAAGUACUAAUAAACAAUAGAUUAUAAAAAAAAAUAUUUUCUAUUAUAAAAAAAUCAUAAAAACUAUAUUAUCUGUUAAAUGGAUAGUUUAAGAUAUAUUCUUUGUUAAAGAUUGAUAUAUCUGCUAUUUAGGGGGAAAAGUCUCAGCUCUGCCUAAUAAAAAGGCUAAAGAGAUAAACUGUAUCGUUGUAGAGAUAUCCGAUGAAUUGUGGUAAGUUGGUGAAAGACAAAACUGACUAGUAUAGCUGGUUUUCCGCGAAACCUAUGUGAGUAGGUAAUUUAAUUAACAUCUUAGCAGGUACAGAACUAGGAUCUCGGACAAUAUGUAAAUUUUGUGCACAUCGGGGGAUCGUGAUGAUUUUAUCGGAGAGUAUUUGCACUCGAAAGGGCAAAGAUGAAUAUUGAAUAAUCGGACAUAGUACGAUAAGGUUGUAUGUCUAAAGGGAAACAGCCCUGAACAAGAGUUAUAAGGUUCCAAAAUUAUUAUUAAGUGAAAUUAAGGAUGUACUUAUCAAAUACAACCAGGAAAUAGGCUUAGAAGCGGCCAUUUUUUGAAGACCUCGUAACAGAGCACUGGUUAAUAAAAAAAAUUUUUUUUUAGAUAGAUAUGUAUACCGAAAAUUUAACGGAUCUAAAUAAUAUACCGAAACCUUGUUCGUAUAUAUUAAUAUAGAAUAUUAUUUACUAGUUUAAAUAUAUAUAUAUAGGUAUAUAUGAGGUAGCGGAACAUUGGAUAAAUAUUAGAUUUUUUCUUUUUUAAGAUAAAAAAAUAUAUAAUAAUCCAAGAGAGAAUGCUGGCAUGAGUAACGAAAAAGGAUUUAACAUCCUCGCCUUAAGCUUAUGGUAUUUUAAUUAAAUUUCGGUGUCUAAGUAGGAAGAUAAAAAGUAAAACUAAGGUAUGUAGGAAGACAAAAUAAUAAAAUAAUAAAAAAGCAAAGUGUUAAAUUAGUUUGAAAACUUCUCCUAAUGGAUUUUUACGAUGAUAUAUUGAUUAGAGAAAAAAAACCUUUAUAAAGUGUUAAAGGUUCUGGAAAUUAAAUAUAAUCUAGGUAGAGGGUACCUACAAAACUCUAUUGAAAAUAAUAUAAGACCGUACCUAAAUACUAACACAAGUAAGCAAGUAGAGUAUACAAAGGCGUUUGAGCGAACAAUCCUUAAGGAACUCGGCAAAUUGACUCCGUAACUUCGGGAUAAGGAGAGCCGUUAUUAUAGAAAAAAUUUUUUUUUUUCUGUCAAAUAAGAGGAAACAUAAAAUAAUGUUGUACGACUGUUUAAUUAAAACAAAUCACUCUGCAAAGAUUAAAAAUCAAAGUAUUGAGUGUGAGGUCUGCCCAAUGUCGGUUGUAUAACUGAGAUGCUUAAUUUAAAAGGUUAAGUUUUGAAGGACACCCCGAUCAAUGGCGGUCUUAUCUAUAAGGAUCCUAAGGUAGCGGAAUACCUUGGCCGUUAAAUGCGGUCUUGCAUGAAUGACUUAACGAUACAACAGCUGUCUCGAGGAUUGGCUCAGUGAAAUUGACUGUUACCUUUUAUGUUUAUAAUAAGUUAAUUUUCAGUGAAUAAGGUAAUUGAUAGAUAGAAUUGAAACACCUUUAUUUAAACUAUUAUAUUCUUUAUGACUGGAAGACAGUUUAUGCGGGGCACAGAUCCCAUAAAAAGUACCUGGGUAUAUCCAAAGUUAAUAAUGUAAGUUUGUAAAUUUUAAUUUACAGUAAUAAUGUAUUUAUAUUUAUAAAUUAUUAUUAUUUAGUUUGUUAUUAAUUAUGUUUUAUAUUUAUUCAGUUAUUAUUGUAUUAAAUUCGAAUUUUAUAAAAUUUAAGUAAGAUUUUAACUAUAUGGUAAAUAGAUGUAUAUUAAAUAUUAAUAAAUUAAGUUUUAUUAGUAUUUUAUUUAUAUUAAUAUUGUAUAUAUAAAUCCUUAUUAAUAUGAUAAUUAUUUAUACUUUAAAAGUUUAAUGGCUAAAUCUUGCUUUACUGUUUGACUUACAAGUCUAUCAGUCGCGUAAGCGGGGCAUAUGAUCACAAGAUGCAAAAAGGAAAGGUCUUGGAUUAAAGAAAAAGUUACGCAACAGGCUAAUUUGCGCAAGAGAGUACAAAUUGAGUGCGCGGUUUGGCACCUCGAUGUCGGCUUAGCUCAUCCACAUGAAUGCAGAAAUCAUGAAGGGUACGACUGUUCGUCGGUUAAAGAGCUACACGAGCUGGGUUUAUUAUUAAAUUAGAGUCUAAUAUAGAUAGCCCCUUCGUACGAAAGGAGUUGGGUAUGCUGAUCUAUGGUUUACCUGUUGUUUAAUUUUGAUAUUAUAUAUAUAUAUAUAUAUAUCCUAGACUAUUUUCACUUAAGUAGUAUUGUUUAUUAAGCAUGGCAGGAAAGCUAAGUCAGUUAGAGAUAAGUGCUGAAUGCAUUUAAGCGCGAAGCUUACUAUACUAUACUCUUAUAAACGUAGUAGAACACUACGAAGUAUUUUUUAUUACAUAGGCUUUAGUUGUAAGAAUCUUAAUUGUUUUGAGGCAUAAAGUACUAAUUAACUAA